GGGGAUAUAGCUCAGCUGGGAGAGCGCGAUGCUGGCAGCCUCGAGGCCGUGGGUUCGAGUCCCACUAUCUCCA
This 73-nucleotide transfer RNA is filed under the name Deltaproteobacteria bacterium. RNAcentral's name for it is "tRNA-Ala". It matches the Rfam family "tRNA". Rfam says of the family: Transfer RNA (tRNA) molecules are approximately 80 nucleotides in length. The record is from RNAcentral. Lineage: Bacteria; Pseudomonadati; Myxococcota; Myxococcia.